UACGGAGGGUCCAAGCGUUAUCCGGAAUCAUUGGGUUUAAAGGGUCCGUAGGCGGUUUUGUAAGUCAGUGGUGAAAGCCCAUCGCUCAACGGUGGAACGGCCAUUGAUACUGCAAGACUUGAAUUAUUAGGAAGUAACUAGAAUAUGUAGUGUAGCGGUGAAAUGCUUAGAGAUUACAUGGAAUACCAAUUGCGAAGGCAGGUUACUACUAAUGGAUUGCCGCUGAUGGACGAAAGCGUGGGUAGCGAACAGG
RNAcentral lists this ribosomal RNA (253 nucleotides) under uncultured bacterium. RNAcentral's name for it is "partial 16S ribosomal RNA". It matches the Rfam family "Bacterial small subunit ribosomal RNA", at positions 524 to 776 of the family's 1533-position model. The record is from RNAcentral.